GUGCCAGUAGCCCAGUUGGUAGAGCUUAACGUCGCGGGUUCGAUUCCCGCCUGGCACA
Molecule: transfer RNA, 58 nt
Filed under: Lacticaseibacillus sharpeae JCM 1186 = DSM 20505
Lineage: Bacteria; Bacillati; Bacillota; Bacilli; Lactobacillales; Lactobacillaceae
Description: Lactobacillus sharpeae JCM 1186 = DSM 20505 tRNA
Rfam family: tRNA
About the family: Transfer RNA (tRNA) molecules are approximately 80 nucleotides in length. Their secondary structure includes four short double-helical elements and three loops (D, anti-codon, and T loops). Further hydrogen bonds mediate the characteristic L-shaped molecular structure. tRNAs have two regions of fundamental functional importance: the anti-codon, which is responsible for specific mRNA codon recognition, and the 3' end, to which the tRNAs corresponding amino acid is attached (by aminoacyl-tRNA synthetases). tRNAs cope with the degeneracy of the genetic code in two manners: having more than one tRNA (with a specific anti-codon) for a particular amino acid; and 'wobble' base-pairing, i.e. permitting non-standard base-pairing at the 3rd anti-codon position.
Source: Rfam by way of RNAcentral